Molecule: ribosomal RNA, 434 nt
Filed under: uncultured bacterium
Lineage: Bacteria
Description: partial 16S ribosomal RNA
Rfam family: Bacterial small subunit ribosomal RNA
Source: RNAcentral
AGCGAACGCUGGCGGCAGGCCUAACACAUGCAAGUCGAACGAACCUUUCGGGGUUAGUGGCGGACGGGUGAGUAACACGUGGGAACGUGCCUUUAGGUUCGGAAUAACUCAGGGAAACUUGUGCUAAUACCGAAUGUGCCCUUCGGGGGAAAGAUUUAUCGCCUUUAGAGCGGCCCGCGUCUGAUUAGCUAGUUGGUUGAGGUAAUGGCUCAUCAAGGCGACGAUCAGUAGCUGGUCUGAGAGGAUGAUCAGCCACAUUGGGACUGAGACACGGCCCAAACUCCUACGGGAGGCAGCAGUGGGGGAUCUUGCGCAAUGGGCGAAAGCCUGACGCAGCCAUGCCGCGUGAAUGAUGAAGGUCUUAGGAUUGUAAAAUUCUUUCACCGGGGACGAUAAUGACGGUACCCGGAGAAGAAGCCCCGGCUAACUUCGUG